AGAGAAUUACAAAUGUGUGUUGUCAGCUUUUGGAUUUAAAGGAUGUUGUGGAGAAGAUGUGUGGUGAUAUGCAUAUCUAAGUAUCUCACUUCCUUAAGAAGCAGUGGAGAUGAAGGAUGAGUUUGUUGAGUUACGAAAGCAUACUAUUUUUGAAUCUUAUUUUUGGAAGUGAAUGCUGAUGCGUAGAAAUAAUAUGUGACUGGCUUUUGUUUAGAUUUUGAAAAUUUACGAGGUUGGUGAGCUGUUUGAAGAGGCAAGAGAGACUCUGAAGAAGAAUGUGGUUUGUGCUAUCAAAGAAUUACGUAUUUAUAACGCUUUAUAAAAGUUGCAGAGUUGGCUUCUUAGUACAUUCUUCUCUCUCAUCUUCUUUAGACAUCUCUUAUACUAAAACAAUUGUAUCUCUCUUUUAGUAGUUGCAUAGUUGAAGAUAUUAGUUGGACAUGUAAGUGAGUUUGGUUUCAA
Brassica rapa (field mustard) is the source of this 462-nucleotide long non-coding RNA. RefSeq lists it as uncharacterized. Lineage: Eukaryota; Viridiplantae; Streptophyta; Magnoliopsida; Brassicales; Brassicaceae. The record is from RefSeq and is a predicted model, not a curated record.